Molecule: long non-coding RNA, 788 nt
Organism: Micropterus dolomieu (smallmouth bass)
Lineage: Eukaryota; Metazoa; Chordata; Actinopteri; Centrarchiformes; Centrarchidae
Exons: 4
Source: RefSeq, a predicted model, not a curated record
UGUACCUUUUAUUUUCUGAGAGGUGAAGCUAAGCCUGUUUCCUGGAGUUAUUUGAGUUAAAGUUGAGUUUUGCAAAGUGAAAACUCAACUAAACAGUCUGUAAAAGUGAACUUGACAAAACACAUAUUUUGGUUUGUCCCACUAACUUUCCUUAACUGCUUUUCUUUCUGCCUGUUCUUAGUACUACUUUGAGCAAAACCCCGCCCGUUCAGAAACACCUGUACUGUGGGGGGGUCGAUGUACCUGAGGGAAAACAUUCGCCCCUCCAUCACGAACCCCUUUGCUGGCGGAAAAGGGACUAUUGCAUGUUGUAGUGGAGUGAGACACAAAGGGAAAUCGUCCUGCAGAGACCUCAGAUCUGAACUUUCCAUGCCUCUCUGUUCCAAUCUUUCUUUUCGGCAGGGACGGUGCGACCCAAACGACCCGGAAGUCCUGAGAAAGGGGGCGGAGUCGACUGAGAACAGCUGCCUUUGUUUGCCAUAAAAACCAGGGUCAAGAAAUCACCCCCGCCUUCCUCGUCACCUUGGCUUUUCAUUAGGAUCUUAAAAUAGCUGCAGAUUAUCAGCGAGGCGGCGACACCAGGUCCCCGCGAGAUACAAUGCCUCCCCAAAAGGAACAGCCAAUGGUUGAGCAGCAUCUUUGUGAAACCGCCAAUAAGAGCAGGCGUAGCAGCCCUUUUUGCUGCUUUCUCGGAUAAGAAAGGCUCCGUCCGGCUUCCCGAUGAGCAGCUCCUCCGCCUGCGUCCUGUUCAGGUCCCCGACGAACCAGCUCUUCUCAUCGUAGUGAGG